This 253-nucleotide ribosomal RNA is filed under the name uncultured bacterium. RNAcentral's name for it is "partial 16S ribosomal RNA". It matches the Rfam family "Bacterial small subunit ribosomal RNA", at positions 524 to 776 of the family's 1533-position model. The record is from RNAcentral.
UACGUAGGUGGCAAGCGUUGUCCGGAAUCACUGGGCGUAAAGGGCGCGUAGGCGGCCUGAUAAGUAGGGGGUGAAAUCCUGCGGCUUAACCGCAGGGCUGCCUUCUAAACUGUCAGGCUUGAGCACAGUAGAGGCAGGUGGAAUUCCCGGUGUAGCGGUGGAAUGCGUAGAGAUCGGGAAGAACAUCAGUGGCGAAGGCGGCUUUCUGGUCUGUAACUGACGCUGAGGCGCGAAAGCGUGGGGAGCAAACAGG